This 105-nucleotide ribosomal RNA is filed under the name uncultured crenarchaeote. RNAcentral describes it as "partial 16S ribosomal RNA". The record is from RNAcentral. Lineage: Archaea; Thermoproteati; Thermoproteota.
CCUGACAGGGUUACUCUUAUGGAUUUCCGCUUAGGAAAUCUUUUGGCAUCUCUAAAAAUGGUGAAGAAUAAGGGGGGGGCAAGACUGGGGUCAGCCGCCCCGGUC